RNAcentral lists this ribosomal RNA (385 nucleotides) under uncultured bacterium. RNAcentral describes it as "bacterial SSU rRNA". It matches the Rfam family "Bacterial small subunit ribosomal RNA", at positions 30 to 416 of the family's 1533-position model. The record is from RNAcentral.
AUUGAACGCUGGCGGCAUGCCUUACACAUGCAAGUCGAACGGCAGCACGGGAGCAAUCCUGGUGGCGAGUGGCGAACGGGUGAGUAAUAUAUCGGAACGUGCCCAGUCGUGGGGGAUAACGUAGCGAAAGCUACGCUAAUACCGCAUACGAUCUAUGGAUGAAAGCGGGGGAUCGCAAGACCUCGCGCGAUUGGAGCGGCCGAUAUCAGAUUAGGUUGUUGGUGGGGUAAAGCCUACCAAGCCUGCGAUCUGUAGCUGGUCUGAGAGGACGACCAGCCACACUGGAACUGAGACACGGUCCAGACUCCUACGGGAGGCAGCAGUGGGGAAUUUUGGACAAUGGGCGCAAGCCUGAUCCAGCAAUGCCGCGUGCAGGAUGAAGGCC